Molecule: long non-coding RNA, 1912 nt
Organism: Anolis carolinensis (green anole)
Lineage: Eukaryota; Metazoa; Chordata; Lepidosauria; Squamata; Anolidae
Source: Ensembl
AGUCACUGUUGAAUGUUUUUAUGUUGAAUGUUUUAUAUUUUGGAAUGAUAUUUUAAAUUGUAAUUCGCUCGGAGCACUCUGGCGGAGAGCGACUAAUUAAGAAAUAAAGUGAAGUGAAGUGAAGUGCAUUCUCUGAGGAAUCUCCUUUGGGGUGACACCUUCUGCUGUCAAGAAUAUAGUUACUUAAUUCACAUUGACUGACCGUCUGCGCAGGGUUCCAUACUUUGCACUUUAACAACACAACCAUUCAAUGCUAAGGCUUCCUGCUAAAUGGAACUGUAGAGGAGAGUCUACUGAACAAGCCAGUACCUGCCACAUACCAGUCUUGCCAUCUGUUGAGGAGUUACGAAGGUGGAGGCAUUACUUUUCAUUCAACCCUCGUAUAUAAUGGGACAUAAGCAUCCAUUGAUUGUAUCAUCCAUGGACAUCCUAGUUCUCAACCUGUGGGUCCCCAGAUGUUUUGAUUUACAACUCCCAGAAAUCCCAGCCAGUUUACUAGCUGAUAGGAUUUCUGGGAAUUGAAGGCCAAAACAUCUGGGGACCCACAGGUUGAGAACCACUGUCCUAGAACCAAAUUUCAGCAGAUCCGGAGGGCCCAAUGUAUAUGGUGAUGAUCUCCUUUGGAUUGCUGUAGCCGUAGUUGUGGUAUUAUUCUUAUUUUCUUACCCAAAUCUUCUCAACUCCAUGUGGUUCUUUGAUCUUAAUCUUUCUUGCACAAAUAUAAGCAAAUGUUAUUUUAUCAGUAAUGGAAAGUUUUGUCUCUGUCUACCAUCACUUUGCAAAACACACACACAAAGUGAGGCAAUAAAAAACAAUAAAGAAAGGAUUAAAAUAGAAAAGAAGCAUUUAAAAAUAAAUCAUAAAAAUUUACAAUUUACAGCCUAAGGAUGGGAGGAAGGAGAAGCCGAAGGGAGCGAAAAGGAGCCCAAGUGGCAACAGGAGGAGAAGGAGGCGAUUUAUCAACACAUGAUUGGUUGAUAAAGACUUAUAAUAGUGUAUACUGGCGGAACGUUGGAUAAUCGAAAACUUUGGAUAAUAAGAAGGGAUUAAGGAAAGGUCUAUUAUAAACAUCAAAUUAUGUUAUGAUUUUACAAAUUAAGCACCAAAACAUCAUGUUUUACAAAAAAUGGACAGAAAAAGCAAUUCAUUACACAGUAAUUAAAGGUAAAGGUUUUCCCCUGAUAUUAAGUCCAGCCGUGACCGACUCUGGGGGUUAGUACUCAUCUCCAUUUCUAAGCCAAAGAGCCGGCGUUCUCCGUAGACACCUCCAAGGUCAUGUGGUCCAAGGUCAUUUUAGUAGUCAAUGUUUUUGUAGUCAAUUUUUCAAUAUAUUGUGAAGUUUUGGUGGUAAAUUCGUAAAUACAAUAAUUACUACAUAGUAAUUACUAUGUACAGGGCCCCUGGUGGCACAGUGCGUUAAAGCGCUGAGCUUUUGAACUUGCAGACCAAAUGUUCCCAGGUUCAAAUCCCGGUAGCGGAGUGAGCAGCCGCUGUUAGCUCCAGCUUCUGCCAACCUAGCAGUUUAAAAAAAUGCAAAUGUGAGUAGAUCAAUAGGUACCGCUCCAGCGGGAAGGUAACAGCACUCCAUGCAGUCAUGCCGGCCACAUGAACUUGGAGGUGUCCACAGACAACACCGGCUCUUCGGCUUAGAAAUGGAGAUGAGCACCAACCCCCAGAGUCAGACAUGACUGGACUUAACGUCAGGGGAAACCUUUACCUUUACAUAUAUAUAUAUAUAUAUAUAUAUAUAUAUAUAUAUAUAUAUAUAUAUAUAUAGUAAUAUUACUAAUAAUAUUACAGUAUACUGGUAUAGUACAAUGUAAUAAUAUGUAAUGCUAAUAUUGUGCUAUGCUAACAAUAUAAUACAUUGUAUUUAAAUAUUAUUUGUAAGCCGCCCUGAGUCCCCUUCGGG